AGGCUGAAUGUGAACAUCAUCUCUACAGUCAUAUACUGGAAUUGGAGCUGCGGCUGCUGAUGGUGUUUGCUUCUGAGUGACUUUCCUGGGCUCUAUGGGAAGAUGGAAGAUUGUUCCCGCCCGUUGGUCAUCUCUUCCAUGAGGCUGAAGGCUCUCUCUUCUGACUCCCAUCUCAAGUCCAAUGAAGCAUGUUCUUUGUGAUAGCGCACAACAGUACGCAUCAUUAAAAUGCACAGGGGCUCUAAA
Mus musculus (house mouse) is the source of this 246-nucleotide long non-coding RNA. RefSeq annotates it as predicted gene, 35888. Lineage: Eukaryota; Metazoa; Chordata; Mammalia; Rodentia; Muridae. The record is from RefSeq and is marked validated. The transcript is spliced from 2 exons.